This is a small nuclear RNA of Phoenix dactylifera (date palm), 103 nucleotides long. Lineage: Eukaryota; Viridiplantae; Streptophyta; Magnoliopsida; Arecales; Arecaceae. The record is from RefSeq and is a predicted model, not a curated record.
AUAUAUUAGGAGAUAUCCGAUAAAAUUGGAAUGAUGCAGAGAAAAUUAGUAUAGCUCUUAUGCAAGAAUAACAUGCACAAAUCGAGAGAGUUCAAAAAGAGUA